GCCGGGGUGGCCGAGCGGUGAGUCCCCCUUCACGGGGCGCGAAGCAGCGGACUGCAGAUCCGCCAUACCGGGGUUCAAAUCCCUGCCCCGGCUCCA
This 96-nucleotide transfer RNA is filed under the name Candidatus Jordarchaeales archaeon. Its description in RNAcentral is "tRNA-Cys". It matches the Rfam family "tRNA". Rfam says of the family: Transfer RNA (tRNA) molecules are approximately 80 nucleotides in length. Their secondary structure includes four short double-helical elements and three loops (D, anti-codon, and T loops). The record is from RNAcentral. RNAcentral also lists the same sequence under 1 other name. Lineage: Archaea; Promethearchaeati; Candidatus Jordarchaeia; Candidatus Jordarchaeales.